Molecule: ribosomal RNA, 512 nt
Filed under: uncultured bacterium
Lineage: Bacteria
Description: partial 16S ribosomal RNA
Rfam family: Bacterial small subunit ribosomal RNA
Source: RNAcentral
AUUGAACGCUGGCGGCGUGCUUAACACAUGCAAGUCGAACGCGAAAGGGACUUCGGUCCUGAGUAAAGUGGCGCACGGGUGAGUAACGCGUGGAUAAUCUGCCCUUAUGAUUGGAAUAACAGUUGGAAACGGCUGCUAAUACCGGAUACGCUCAAAAUGAACUUUUUGAGGAAAGAUGGCCUCUGCUUGCAAGCUGUCGCAUAAGGAUGAGUCCGCGUCCCAUUAGCUUGUUGGCGGGGUAACGGCCCACCAAGGCAACAAUGGGUAGCCGAUUUGAGAGGCUGAUCGGCCACACUGGAACUGAAACCCGGUCCAGACUCCUACGGGAGUCAGCAGUGGGGAAUAUUGCGCAAUGGGCGAAAGCCUGACGCAGCGACGCCGCGUGAGGGAUGAAGGUUUUCGGAUCGUAAACCUCUGUCAGAAGGGAAGAAACUACGUUGUGCUAAUCAGCAGCGUACUGACGGUACCUUCAAAGGAAGCACCGGCUAACUCCGUGCCAGCAGCCGCGGUAA